CGCAGCCCCCGUGUCCUGGAAGCCCCAGGAUUCUUCGGAACAGCCACAGGAGAAGCUCUGCAAGAAUCCAUGUGCGAUGUUUGCUGCCGGAGAGAUCAAAACGCCAACAGGGGAGGGCCUUCUUGACUCACCCAGCAAAACCAUGUCUAUUAAAGAAAGAUUGGCACUGUUGAAGAAAAGCGGGGAGGAAGAUUGGAGAAACAGACUCAGCAGGAGGCAGGAGGGCGGCAAGGCGCCGGCCAGCAGCCUGCACACCCAGGAAGCGGGGCGGUCCCUCAUCAAGAAGGAAGAAGGAGGAGUUGCGGAUGAUAGUGCCAUUUCUAAUCUGCUUUGGGUAAGCCUGACUCUAACACAGGUGUCCUCUCGAUGGUGGCCAGAAUUACACUUCGCGUGGGUAGCUCUGAUCCUGGGUGGUUCCUUCGUGCACCCUCCCUGGUGCUUUUCUUAUCUCCAGAUCAGACACAGCCUUUGUCCGGAGUGGAGAGCUGAGCCCGUGCCCUUAAACUAUUUUUUUAAUCAUGUAAUGAAGAUACUUUAAAGAAGAUGAUAUUUUCUGUUAAAUGUUAAAACUGUCAAUGAAAUUAAUGGUUUCCCUCUCUGUAACUGACAAUCUUCUAUAAAUUAACUCAUUUAAUUACUGCACAAA
RNAcentral lists this small RNA (646 nucleotides) under Pongo abelii (Sumatran orangutan). RNAcentral's name for it is "processed transcript". The record is from RNAcentral. Lineage: Eukaryota; Metazoa; Chordata; Mammalia; Primates; Hominidae.